CGUUUUCCAUGACGACUCUGCCUAAAUUGGGAAAAUCUAAGAACCCUAUCCUCGGGUUCUUACCCGGCGGGUGAAUCAGAGUGGCGGUAGCCGGUAAACUAUUUUCUUCUUCUUUUGUUUAGGUUUUUGUAUAGAUGAUAAGCAGAAAUGCUGUUGAUUUAGGUUUAAGCUUUGACAAACGUAUUUCUCCUCCUUUCUGAUGAUGAAUCUAGUUAAAAUCCUGUGAUGUUUCUGUUCGAGAGUAAACCUGCUAUAACUCCUCCGGCGAACAUUAGAAGAUAUCGGGAUAGGAGAAGACAAAGCAAGGAUCGGAAUAUCGCAAACUAUAGGAUUAGAUUUGUGUUGUGAAAACUUGAUGAUCAUUACUACUAAUUUUGUAACAAUUUUGAUAUAGGACUUAGUGUAACAAUUUUGUAACCAGAUUAGUUAACUACUAAGUGUAACUAACUAAGUGUCCUUUAAUGCGUUCCCUCAAGCGUAUUGGAAGUUUUUUUGGUAAGCUUGACACGUAGUAUAUCGAACGCUGGUCGUGGGAGUGGCUUUGUGAGGAGAUCUGUAAUCUGAUCUUUUGUCCC
RNAcentral lists this long non-coding RNA (575 nucleotides) under Zostera marina. Its description in RNAcentral is "long non-coding RNA (ZMAR_LNC002203)". The record is from RNAcentral. Lineage: Eukaryota; Viridiplantae; Streptophyta; Magnoliopsida; Alismatales; Zosteraceae.